Molecule: ribosomal RNA, 253 nt
Filed under: uncultured bacterium
Lineage: Bacteria
Description: partial 16S ribosomal RNA
Rfam family: Bacterial small subunit ribosomal RNA
Source: RNAcentral
UACGUAGGUGGCAAGCGUUGUCCGGAUUUACUGGGCGUAAAGCGUAUGUAGGCGGAUGCUUAAGUAGGAAGUGAAAGGUUCGAGCUCAACUCGGACACUGCUCCCUAUACUGGGCGUCUUGAGGGUCGGAGAGGAAAGCGGAACGACACGUGUAGCGGUGAAAUGCGUUGAUAUGUGUCGGAACACCAAUGGCGAAGGCAGCUUUCUGGACGAUUUCUGACGCUGAGAUACGAAAGCCGAGGUAGCGAACAGG